AUAGAACCCAGGCCCUCAGCAGUGAAAGUGCAGAGUCCUAACCACUGGACCGCCAGGGAAUUCCCUGAAAGCUCAUUCUUGUCUGAAGAGUACCGUUCUGUGUGGCCCCAGAUAAAUUUUUCCAGGCAGCUGUGUCUGAGACGCUGGUCCUCCUGUAAAGCCUCCCAGACGACCCUGGGCACACAGACAUGGAAACAGUACUAUCUCUGCUGAUCCGAGCUGGAGUUCCGAAUGGAAUCUGGGUGGCCAGAGAAGGACUUUAUCUGCAAAGCCAUUGCUGGGCACAAAGGAGAGAUAGAUGAGCUGGCCUACAUCUCAACCAAAGAGUACUGGUUUGAUGGGCGGGAGAAGUCCGUGGUGUGCACCGUGUCGUCAGAUGGCACCGUGUGUGCCUGGGAUCUGCAAGAGUUGAGCUGCCCAGGAGGGGGCCAGGAUGAGAAGUGACCAGAUGCUGCUAUGUCCUCAGUCUUAG
Eubalaena glacialis (North Atlantic right whale) is the source of this 472-nucleotide long non-coding RNA. RefSeq lists it as uncharacterized. The record is from RefSeq and is a predicted model, not a curated record. The transcript is spliced from 3 exons. NCBI's taxonomy places the organism in Eukaryota, Metazoa, Chordata, Mammalia, Artiodactyla, Balaenidae.